This 433-nucleotide ribosomal RNA is filed under the name uncultured bacterium. RNAcentral's name for it is "partial 16S ribosomal RNA". It matches the Rfam family "Bacterial small subunit ribosomal RNA", at positions 29 to 507 of the family's 1533-position model. The record is from RNAcentral.
AACGAACGCUGGCGGCAUGCCUAACACAUGCAAGUCGAACGAGACCUUCGGGUCUAGUGGCGCACGGGUGCGUAACGCGUGGGAACCUGCCCUUAGGUUCGGAAUAACUCCCCGAAAGGGGUGCUAAUACCGGAUAAUGUCUUCGGACCAAAGAUUUAUCGCCUUUGGAUGGGCCCGCGUUGGAUUAGCUAGUUGGUAGGGUAAAAGCCUACCAAGGCGACGAUCCAUAGCUGGUCUGAGAGGAUGAUCAGCCACACUGGGACUGAGACGCAGCACAGAAUCCUACGGAAGGCAGCAGUGGGGAAUAUUGGACCAUGGGCGAAAGCCUGAUCCAGCAAUGCCGCGUGAGUGAUGAAGGCCUUAGGGUUGUAAAGCUCUUUUACCCGGGAUGAUAAUGACAGUACCGGGAGAAUAAGCCCCGGCUAACUCCGUG